Molecule: transfer RNA, 68 nt
Filed under: Marmota monax (woodchuck)
Lineage: Eukaryota; Metazoa; Chordata; Mammalia; Rodentia; Sciuridae
Description: tRNA.Ala
Source: RNAcentral
GUGGUGGCGCAGAGGUAGAGUGCUUGCCUAGCAUGUGUGAGGCACUGGGUUGGAUUCUCAGCACCACA